GACGAACGCUGGCGGCGUGCUUAACACAUGCAAGUCGAACGGAAAGGCCCUGCUUUUGUGGGGUGCCCGAGUGGCGAACGGGUGAGUAACACGUGAGUAACCUGCCCUUGACUUUGGGAUAACUUCAGGAAACUGGGGCUAAUACCGGAUAGGAGCUCCUGCUGCAUGGUGGGGGUUGGAAAGUUUCGGCGGUUGGGGAUGGACUCGCGGCUUAUCAGCUUGUUGGUGGGGUAGUGGCUUACCAAGGCUUUGACGGGUAGCCGGCCUGAGAGGGUGACCGGCCACAUUGGGACUGAGAUACGGCCCAGACUCCUACGGGAGGCAGCAGUGGGGAAUAUUGCACAAUGGGCGGAAGCCUGAUGCAGCAACGCCGCGUGCGGGAUGACGGCCUUCGGGUUGUAAACCGCUUUCGCCUGAGACGAAGCGUGAGUGACGGUAAUGGGUAAAGAAGCACCGGCUAACUACGUG
Molecule: ribosomal RNA, 468 nt
Filed under: uncultured bacterium
Lineage: Bacteria
Description: partial 16S ribosomal RNA
Rfam family: Bacterial small subunit ribosomal RNA
Source: RNAcentral